UAAGGAAUAUUGGUCAAUGGACGGAAGUCUGAACCAGCCAUGCCGCGUGGAGGAUGAAGGCCCUCUGGGUUGUAAACUUCUUUUAUUUGGGACGAAACACUUCUUUUCUAGGGAGCUUGACGGUACCAGAUGAAUAAGCACCGGCUAACUCCGUGCCAGCAGCCGCGGUAAUACGGAGGGUGCAAGCGUUAUCCGGAUUCACUGGGUUUAAAGGGUGCGUAGGCGGACAUGUAAGUCCGUGGUGAAAUCUCCGAGCUUAACUCGGAAACUGCCAUGGAUACUAUAUGUCUUGAAUGUUGUGGAGGUUAGCGGAAUAUGUCAUGUAGCGGUGAAAUGCAUAGAUAUGACAUAGAACACCAAUUGCGAAGGCAGCUGGCUACACAAAUAUUGACGCUGAGGCACGAAAGCGUGGGGAUCAAACAGGAUUAGAUACCCCCGUAGUCC
This 444-nucleotide ribosomal RNA is filed under the name uncultured bacterium. RNAcentral's name for it is "bacterial SSU rRNA". It matches the Rfam family "Bacterial small subunit ribosomal RNA", at positions 355 to 796 of the family's 1533-position model. The record is from RNAcentral.